AGUGAACGCUGGCGGUAGGCCUAAUACAUGCAAGUCGAACGGCAGCACAGUAAGAGCUUGCUCUUACGGGUGGCGAGUGGCGGACGGGUGAGGAAUACAUCGGAAUCUACUUUUUCGUGGGGGAUAACGUAGGGAAACUUACGCUAAUACCGCAUACGACCUACGGGUGAAAGCAGGGGAUCUUCGGACCUUGCGCGAUUGAAUGAGCCGAUGUCGGAUUAGCUAGUUGGCGGGGUAAAGGCCCACCAAGGCGACGAUCCGUAGCUGGUCUGAGAGGAUGAUCAGCCUCACUGGAACUGAGACACGGUCCAGACUCCUACGGGAGGCAGCAGUGGGGAAUAUUGGACAAUGGGCGCAAGCCUGAUCCAGCCAUACCGCGUGGGUGAAGAAGGCCUUCGGGUUGUAAAGCCCUUUUGUUGGGAAAGAAAAGCAGCAGGUUAAUACCCCGCUGUUCUGACGGUACCCAAAGAAUAAGCACCGGCUAACUUCGUG
This 492-nucleotide ribosomal RNA is filed under the name uncultured bacterium. RNAcentral's name for it is "partial 16S ribosomal RNA". It matches the Rfam family "Bacterial small subunit ribosomal RNA", at positions 29 to 507 of the family's 1533-position model. The record is from RNAcentral.